This 253-nucleotide ribosomal RNA is filed under the name uncultured bacterium. RNAcentral describes it as "partial 16S ribosomal RNA". It matches the Rfam family "Bacterial small subunit ribosomal RNA", at positions 524 to 776 of the family's 1533-position model. The record is from RNAcentral.
UACGUAGGUGGCGAGCGUUGUCCGGAAUUAUUGGGCGUAAAGAGCUCGUAGGCGGCUUGUCACGUCGGGUGUGAAAGCCCGGGGCUUAACCCCGGGUCUGCAUUCGAUACGGGCUAGCUAGAGUGUGGUAGGGGAGAUCGGAAUUCCUGGUGUAGCGGUGAAAUGCGCAGAUAUCAGGAGGAACACCGGUGGCGAAGGCGGAUCUCUGGGCCAUUACUGACGCUGAGGAGCGAAAGCGUGGGGAGCGAACAGG